RNAcentral lists this ribosomal RNA (532 nucleotides) under Pseudomonas sp. S6(2015). RNAcentral's name for it is "bacterial SSU rRNA". It matches the Rfam family "Bacterial small subunit ribosomal RNA", at positions 71 to 600 of the family's 1533-position model. Lineage: Bacteria; Pseudomonadati; Pseudomonadota; Gammaproteobacteria; Pseudomonadales; Pseudomonadaceae. The record is from RNAcentral.
GAGAGGUGCUUGCACCUCUUGAGAGCGGCGGACGGGUGAGUAAUGCCUAGGAAUCUGCCUGGUAGUGGGGGAUAACGCUCGGAAACGGACGCUAAUACCGCAUACGUCCUACGGGAGAAAGCAGGGGACCUUCGGGCCUUGCGCUAUCAGAUGAGCCUAGGUCGGAUUAGCUAGUUGGUGAGGUAAUGGCUCACCAAGGCGACGAUCCGUAACUGGUCUGAGAGGAUGAUCAGUCACACUGGAACUGAGACACGGUCCAGACUCCUACGGGAGGCAGCAGUGGGGAAUAUUGGACAAUGGGCGAAAGCCUGAUCCAGCCAUGCCGCGUGUGUGAAGAAGGUCUUCGGAUUGUAAGCACUUUAAGUUGGGAGGAAGGGCAUUAACCUAAUACGUUAGUGUUUUGACGUUACCGACAGAAUAAGCACCGGCUAACUCUGUGCCAGCAGCCGCGGUAAUACAGAGGGUGCAAGCGUUAAUCGGAAUUACUGGGCGUAAAGCGCGCGUAGGUGGUUCGUUAAGUUGGAUGUGAAAG